UACGGGGGGGGGCAAGCGUUGUUCGGAAUUACUGGGCGUAAAGGGCUCGUAGGUGGCCAACUAAGUCGGACGUGAAAUCCCUCGGCUUAACCGGGGAACUGCGUCCGAUACUGGAUGGCUUGAGUUUGGGAGAGGGAUGCGGAAUUCCAGGUGUAGCGGUGAAAUGCGUAGAUAUCUGGAGGAAGACCAGUGGCGAAGGCGGGUCUCUGGACAGUUCCUGACACUGAGGCACGAAGGCCAGGGGAGCAAACGG
RNAcentral lists this ribosomal RNA (253 nucleotides) under uncultured bacterium. RNAcentral describes it as "partial 16S ribosomal RNA". It matches the Rfam family "Bacterial small subunit ribosomal RNA", at positions 524 to 775 of the family's 1533-position model. The record is from RNAcentral.